This 254-nucleotide ribosomal RNA is filed under the name uncultured bacterium. RNAcentral describes it as "partial 16S ribosomal RNA". It matches the Rfam family "Bacterial small subunit ribosomal RNA", at positions 524 to 776 of the family's 1533-position model. The record is from RNAcentral.
UACGUAGGGCGCAAGCGUUGUCCGGAAUUAUUGGGCGUAAAGAGCUCGUAGGCGGUCUGUCACGUCGGGUGUGAAAGCCCGGGGCUUAACCCCGGGUCUGCAUUCGAUACGGGCAGACUAGAGUGUGGUAGGGGAGAUCGGAAUUCCUGGUGUAGCGGUGAAAUGCGCAGAGUAUCAGGAGGAACACCGAUGGCGAAGGCAGGUCUCUGGGCCACUACUGACGCUGAGAAGCGAAAGCAUGGGGAGCGAACAGG